AGCAUGUCUGUCUGAGUGUUGGUU
Molecule: ribosomal RNA, 24 nt
Filed under: Lepidisis olapa
Lineage: Eukaryota; Metazoa; Cnidaria; Anthozoa; Scleralcyonacea; Keratoisididae
Also listed under: 30 other names
Description: partial 5.8S ribosomal RNA
Source: RNAcentral